This 394-nucleotide ribosomal RNA is filed under the name uncultured bacterium. Its description in RNAcentral is "bacterial SSU rRNA". It matches the Rfam family "Bacterial small subunit ribosomal RNA", at positions 775 to 1167 of the family's 1533-position model. The record is from RNAcentral.
GGAUUAGAUACCCCGGUAGUCCACGCCGUAAACGAUGAGUGCUAGGUGUUGGGGGUUUCGAUACCCUCGGUGCCGAAGUUAACACAGUAAGCACUCCGCCUGGGGAGUACGCUCGCAAGAGUGAAACUCAAAGGAAUUGACGGGGACUCGCACAAGCAGUGGAGUAUGUGGUUUAAUUCGAAGCAACGCGAAGAACCUUACCAGGUCUUGACAUCCCUCUGAAAGCCGCAGAGAUGCGGUCCUCUUUCGGGACAGAGGAGACAGGUGGUGCAUGGUUGUCGUCAGCUCGUGUCGUGAGAUGUUGGGUUAAGUCCCGCAACGAGCGCAACCCUUGACUUUAGUUGCCAGCACGUAGUGGUGGGCACUCUAGAGUGACUGCCGGUGACAAACCGGA